Molecule: ribosomal RNA, 553 nt
Filed under: Scheffersomyces shehatae
Lineage: Eukaryota; Fungi; Ascomycota; Pichiomycetes; Serinales; Debaryomycetaceae
Description: eukaryotic LSU rRNA
Rfam family: Eukaryotic large subunit ribosomal RNA
Source: RNAcentral
GGAUUGUCUUAGUAACGGCGAGUGAAGCGACAAAAGCUCAAAUUUGAAAUCUGGCACCUUCGGUGUCCGAGUUGUAAUUUGAAGAAGGUAACUUUGGAGUUGGCUCUUGUCUAUGUUCCUUGGAACAGGACGUCACAGAGGGUGAGAAUCCCGUGCGAUGAGAUGUCCAACUCUAUGUAAAGUGCUUUCGAAGAGUCGAGUUGUUUGGGAAUGCAGCUCUAAGUGGGUGGUAAAUUCCAUCUAAAGCUAAAUAUUGGCGAGAGACCGAUAGCGAACAAGUACAGUGAUGGAAAGAUGAAAAGAACUUUGAAAAGAGAGUGAAAAAGUACGUGAAAUUGUUGAAAGGGAAGGGUUUGAGAUCAGACUUGGUAUUUUGUAUGUCUUGCUUUCGGGUGGGGCCUCUGCAGUUUACUGGGCCAGCAUCGGUUUGGACGGUAGGAUAAUGACAUUGGAAUGUGGCACUACUUCGGUGGUGUGUUAUAGACUUUGUUGAUACUGCCUGUCUAGACCGAGGACUGCGUCUUUGACUAGGAUGCUGGCAUAAUGAUCCUAA